GCGGCGUGCCUAAUACAUGCAAGUCGAGCGAACGGACGAGAAGCUUGCUUCUCUGAUGUUAGCGGCGGACGGGUGAGUAACACGUGGAUAACCUACCUAUAAGACUGGGAUAACUUCGGGAAACCGGAGCUAAUACCGGAUAAUAUUUUGAACCGCAUGGUUCAAAAGUGAAAGACGGUCUUGCUGUCACUUAUAGAUGGAUCCGCGCUGCAUUAGCUAGUUGGUAAGGUAACGGCUUACCAAGGCAACGAUGCAUAGCCGACCUGAGAGGGUGAUCGGCCACACUGGAACUGAGACACGGUCCAGACUCCUACGGGAGGCAGCAGUAGGGAAUCUUCCGCAAUGGGCGAAAGCCUGACGGAGCAACGCCGCGUGAGUGAUGAAGGUCUUCGGAUCGUAAAACUCUGUUAUUAGGGAAGAACAUAUGUGUAAGUAACUGUGCACAUCUUGACGGUACCUAAUCAGAAAGCCACGGCUAACUACGUGCCAGCAGCCGCGGUAAUACGUAGGUGGCAAGCGUUAUCCGGAAUUAUUGGGCGUAAAGCGCGCGUAGGCGGUUUUUUAAGUCUGAUGUGAAAGCCCACGGCUCAACCGUGGAGGGUCAUUGGAAACUGGAAAACUUGAGUGCAGAAGAGGAAAGUGGAAUUCCAUGUGUAGCGGUGAAAUGCGCAGAGAUAUGGAGGAACACCAGUGGCGAAGGCGACUUUCUGGUCUGUAACUGACGCUGAUGUGCGAAAGCGUGGGGAUCAAACAGGAUUAGAUACCCUGGUA
RNAcentral lists this ribosomal RNA (771 nucleotides) under Staphylococcus agnetis. RNAcentral's name for it is "bacterial SSU rRNA". It matches the Rfam family "Bacterial small subunit ribosomal RNA", at positions 39 to 792 of the family's 1533-position model. The record is from RNAcentral. Lineage: Bacteria; Bacillati; Bacillota; Bacilli; Caryophanales; Staphylococcaceae.